UAUUCAUCCCAUGCGGGAAGGAUGAGAAGCUUCGACUAAGGUUCGAUUCGAGCGAAGCGAGAAAGCGUUGCCGCAGGCAACGACCCGAAGGGCGAGGCGCAACGCGCCGAGUAAUCCUUCCCCCACCACCA
RNAcentral lists this small RNA (131 nucleotides) under Acinetobacter baumannii. Its description in RNAcentral is "RtT sRNA". It matches the Rfam family "RtT RNA". From Rfam's summary of the family: This family represents a bacterial cis-regulatory element known as RtT RNA. RNAcentral also lists the same sequence under 11 other names. Lineage: Bacteria; Pseudomonadati; Pseudomonadota; Gammaproteobacteria; Moraxellales; Moraxellaceae. The record is from RNAcentral.